UACGUAGGGUGCGAGCGUUGUCCGGAAUUAUUGGGCGUAAAGAGCUCGUAGGCGGUCUGUCGCGUCGAUCGUGAAAACUUGGGGCUUAACCCUGAGCUUGCGGUCGAUACGGGCAUCACUGGAGUUCGGCAGGGGAGACUGGAAUUCCUGGUGUAGCGGUGAAAUGCGCAGAUAUCAGGAGGAACACCGGUGGCGAAGGCGGGUCUCUGGGCCGAUAUUGACGCUGAGGAGCGAAAGCGUGGGGAGCAAACAGG
Molecule: ribosomal RNA, 254 nt
Filed under: uncultured bacterium
Lineage: Bacteria
Description: partial 16S ribosomal RNA
Rfam family: Bacterial small subunit ribosomal RNA
Source: RNAcentral